This 951-nucleotide long non-coding RNA is filed under the name Heterocephalus glaber (naked mole-rat). RNAcentral describes it as "lncRNA (ENSHGLG00100050762.1)". The record is from RNAcentral. Lineage: Eukaryota; Metazoa; Chordata; Mammalia; Rodentia; Bathyergidae.
ACCUCCCAGUACCACCACUCUAGGGCCCAAGCCAUUACAUAUGGAUGUUCGGGGAACAUUCAUCUAAAUCAUAGUGAAAAAAACACAGGAAUUUUCUUCCUUCUCCUAAGUUCCUGUCAGCACACAAACAAGAAUAUCUGCCCUCUCCAAUGUACUAAAUAAAAAGAUGCUGCUAGUGAAACAAUGGACCCGUGGCGGAGGAGUAGCGCUCCACCCCCAUGUGAGAGAGUCAUCUGCUCCAGCAGAGGAUCGCCCUGCCCCCACAUGAGAGAGCAGACCCAUGUCAGAGGAGCAGAGUCCCACCACCAGGGGACACAGCAUCAAGGAGCAGCAGGGGUACAGACUAACCAACUAACCAACCAGCCCAAUCCUGGACAAGGACAUACCCAGGGAGAAAAGGGAGCAAUCAGACCCCAUAACUGUAGACAGUAAGUCCAACAGCCCACUUGAACCCCUGCCUUGCAGCCUAAAUCCAGCAGAGAACAGAGGGCUGAUUAUGUUCCCUGUCCCGGCCCGCGGUCUGGUUGCAGAGCCCAAGAAAACGACUCAAGUACAAGGAGUUUGGAGGACAGCGUAAUUCUAAGAAAUCCUGGAAGAAAAGAGAAGUGGUGAGACAAGAAAGAGAAGACAGAGAAUAAACUGUAGCCAAGCCAGCUUUGAACAAAAGUAGCCACUUAGAGUAAUUGUUUUGAAGGUACCAAACCCAAGAAGAAAGGGAGCCCAAGGACUUGUAUACCACUUUUCAUCAAUCACUGAGUGAGGAUGACUGGAUGCGGAGAUGGAAGUAAUUCUCAGACACUCUCAGCUGCUGAAAGGAAGCCCUAGAGAGUGAGAAGUCUGACACACAACAGCAAGGCCAGCAAGGAUACAGACAGGGCACUGAUAGAAAGCCUAAGGGAUCCUCUUCAACCCUAUGCCCAAGGCUAGGAUAUUCUACUCUUUGUGCCUGUG